AUAAAGGAGUCGAAAUGUUGUCGUGAACUGAAAAGGCUAAAUUUCACUGACACUGGUUGGCACGGUCAAAAGGUGAAC
Papaver somniferum (opium poppy) is the source of this 78-nucleotide long non-coding RNA. RefSeq lists it as uncharacterized. The transcript is spliced from 3 exons. The record is from RefSeq and is a predicted model, not a curated record. Lineage: Eukaryota; Viridiplantae; Streptophyta; Magnoliopsida; Ranunculales; Papaveraceae.